UGCCAGCCGCCGCGGUAAUACAGAGGGUGCGAGCGUUAAUCGGAAUUACUGGGCGUAAAGGGCGCGUAGGCGGCUUAGUAAGUCGGAUGUGAAAUCCCCGGGCUUAACCUGGGAAUUGCAUUCGAUACUGCUCGGCUAGAGUACGGUAGAGGAAAGCGGAAUUCCGGGUGUAGCGGUGAAAUGCGUAGAUAUCCGGAGGAACAUCAGUGGCGAAGGCGGCUUUCUGGACUGAUACUGACGCUGAGGCGCGAAAGCGUGGGGAGCAAACAGGAUUAGAUA
This 279-nucleotide ribosomal RNA is filed under the name uncultured bacterium. RNAcentral describes it as "partial 16S ribosomal RNA". It matches the Rfam family "Bacterial small subunit ribosomal RNA", at positions 506 to 784 of the family's 1533-position model. The record is from RNAcentral.